This 406-nucleotide ribosomal RNA is filed under the name uncultured bacterium. Its description in RNAcentral is "partial 16S ribosomal RNA". It matches the Rfam family "Bacterial small subunit ribosomal RNA", at positions 30 to 526 of the family's 1533-position model. The record is from RNAcentral.
AUUGAACGCUGGCGGCAGGCCUAACACAUGCAAGUCGAACGAGUGGCGGACGGGUGAGUAAUGUCUGGGAAACUGCCUGAUGGAGGGGGAUAACUACUGGAAACGGUAGCUAAUACCGCAUACCAUCGGAUGUGCCCAGAUGGGAUUAGCUAGUAGGUGGGGUAAAGGCUCACCUAGGCGACGAUCCCUAGCUGGUCUGAGAGGAUGACCAGCCAGACCGGGACUGAGACACGGCCCAGACUACUACGGUAGGCAGCAGUGGGGAAUAUUGCACAAUGGGCGCAAGCCUGAUGCAGCCAUGCCGCGUGUAUGAAGAAGGCAUUAGGGUUGUAAAGUACGUUCAGCGGGGAGGCGUUACCCGCAGAAGAAGCACCGGCUAACUCCGUGCCAGCCGCCGCGGUAAUAC